GGUAAGUAGUUCAUAAACAAACAUCACUCCAUCCUAUUUCUUAGAUGUGAUCUGACUGUAAGAAAGUAAAAGAAGGAAAUACCUGUCAAGUUCUGAAUAUAACGUCCUUUUAAGAACAAGAAGUGCAAUACUCAUUGACAUAUUGUGCGAAGUCCGUGAAUACUUACGCUCACUGAGUGGCCACCGAGGACAGGUAGUCGGAAGUGUCGACAUCAUUGUUAAUAAUCACGCAAAUUAUGGACGUCACUCAGGGUUACAAAGAUAAACGGGAAAUGGGAAUAGAUAUUGGUUAAUAUCGUAGUAUAGCUUUUAUACACAUAUCUAGCUACGGGUUAUUUAACCAAGAAAUACUGUUAAGGUUGAACUGAUUUUAGCCAUAGCAAAAUAAACAUUCCCGUAUCAACUAACAGAUACCUGUUAGAAUCUGCAAUCACAAUCAGAAAAAAACACAGGAUGUCGUGCUGUUUCCAUUAAAUGCUUAGAAACUUGCAAUUGGCAGCCCCGGUAUACUCUCAUAUGGCAUCAACCUUGACGGGAAAUAUUUGAACGCGGGAAAAGUUUUAGGCCCGCGCUCACUCGCUUCCCGGACUCCGCACAAUACACAUCGGAGGAUCGCGAGAGGUGCAGAAAGAUACAAACUACCAUGUGAAUAUAAACACAAGUUAAAUCAUACAUGAAAUAACUUUACGAAAGCGUGCACACAUACAUAAACGCAACGACAAUAAAUAUCAAGAAAGGAUAAGCGACGCCUAACUCAGAAGAAAAAUCAUUCACCAAAACCAAAGAAAGGGAUAUCGAGGCACCGAAGACCCCAACAAUGGUUCUUGGCGUCAUAACAGAUGUUCUUCUUCUCAUUGUUCCUAUCCUGCUAACGAUGUAUCUGAUAAGGAAGAACAGGAGAAAGACAGAAAGGACACUGUAACGAAUUAUUUUUUUUUUUUUUUAGAGAUCUGAUUUUCUGAUAUUACAUUAGUUAUUUAUUGUCAGACAGCUGCAACUGGGUGGCAAUUUGGAUCUUACAUUGCCUAUGUCUGUGAAUAAUGCUUGGAUAUGUCAUGUCUACGUCAUGUCUACUCCGCCUUUAUCUUCCUCUUACUUGCUUCUCGGUCUGAUUUUAAGUACGGUGGUUAGCGCGCCGACCUCACAUCCCUGUUGUCGGCAGAUCGAGCCCCGCGCAAGCUCGUGAGUUUCCACUGUCGCCUGGCGGUCACUGCCGUGGCUGGGCAUCACGGUGGGUAAGGACCAAGCUCAGUUCGUUGGUAUAAUACCACGAGUCAGUACUCGCCAUAGUGCAUAUAAGCCCGACGAAGCAUAUUUAGCAUACUUACUUAGUCCGAAUAUACUUACGAAGCAUACUUACUUAGCCCGGCGAAGCAUCUGGUCCGUAAAGCUGGCUUAUCCUUAUCCAUGUCUAAGUAUAAUUUUGGUUAAACUUCCUUCAGCUUUCUAAGGUAACUUUGAUCUUUCUCAUGAUAAUCCUGUCUGUAAUUCAAUAGAAACAUAAACUACGUUUGUCAAUUUGAUAACAUAGUAACAUGUAAAUAAAAUGAAACAGCACA
This 1559-nucleotide long non-coding RNA is filed under the name Penaeus japonicus. Its description in RNAcentral is "uncharacterized LOC122264720". Lineage: Eukaryota; Metazoa; Arthropoda; Malacostraca; Decapoda; Penaeidae. The record is from RNAcentral.